RNAcentral lists this ribosomal RNA (166 nucleotides) under Helotiales sp. RNAcentral's name for it is "partial large subunit ribosomal RNA". It matches the Rfam family "Eukaryotic large subunit ribosomal RNA", at positions 99 to 261 of the family's 3401-position model. The record is from RNAcentral. Lineage: Eukaryota; Fungi; Ascomycota; Leotiomycetes; Helotiales.
CGGCAACAGCUCAAAUUUGAAAUCUGGCUCUUUUAGGGUCCGAGUUGUAAUUUGUAGAAGAUGCUUCGGGUGUGGCUCCGGUCUAAGUUCCUUGGAACAGGACGUCAUAGAGGGUGAGAAUCCCGUAUGUGACUGGUUGCCUUCGCCCAUGUGAAGCUCUUUCGAC